CAUUUAAAGGUUGGCAGUGGCAGUGAGGGUAUCCUGUUAGAGGUUUCAACCUACCUGUAGUUUUCUGUGGCUAUGACUCACUCCAUUGCUUGAGUAGAAUGGUGCCCACUGAUGUGGAUUGGUAAGGACAAGUUCUAUGGCUUCAAGACAGUCACUUAGUGGUUUCAUGGACACUUUUUGGGUAUUGAAUGGGAUGGAUGUUAUUCUGACUCACUUCAGGAUUGUACUG
This is a long non-coding RNA of Phasianus colchicus (ring-necked pheasant), 229 nucleotides long. RefSeq lists it as uncharacterized. NCBI's taxonomy places the organism in Eukaryota, Metazoa, Chordata, Aves, Galliformes, Phasianidae. The record is from RefSeq and is a predicted model, not a curated record.